AGCUACGUGUGGCCAGGAUAAACGCUGAAAGCAUCUAAGCGUGAAACCUUCCUUAAGAUGAGUUUACUUUUAAGGGCUGUCAAAGACGAUGACGUUGAUAGGCUACAGAUGUAAAACUGGUAACAGUAAAGUCGAGUAGUACUAAUUGCCCGUAAGCUUUAAUUUU
Molecule: ribosomal RNA, 166 nt
Filed under: Chitinophagaceae bacterium
Lineage: Bacteria; Pseudomonadati; Bacteroidota; Chitinophagia; Chitinophagales; Chitinophagaceae
Description: partial 23S ribosomal RNA
Rfam family: Bacterial large subunit ribosomal RNA
Source: RNAcentral